RNAcentral lists this ribosomal RNA (418 nucleotides) under uncultured bacterium. RNAcentral's name for it is "bacterial SSU rRNA". It matches the Rfam family "Bacterial small subunit ribosomal RNA", at positions 355 to 773 of the family's 1533-position model. The record is from RNAcentral.
UGGGGAAUCUUGCGCAAUGGCCGAAAGGCUGACGCAGCGACGCCGCGUGUGGGAGGAAGCUCUUCGGGGUGUAAACCACUGUUGCCCGGGACGAACACACCUAUUCGUGGGUGCUGACGGUACCGGGUGAGGAAGCACCGGCUAACUCUGUGCCAGCAGCCGCGGUAAUACAGAGGGUGCGAGCGUUGUCCGGAAUCACUGGGCGUAAAGGGCGCGUAGGCGGCGCGGUAAGCGUGCGGUGAAAGCCCGGGGCUCAACCCCGGGUCGGCCGUGCGGACUGCCGGGCUGGAGCACUGUAGAGGCAGGUGGAAUUCCGGGUGUAGCGGUGGAAUGCGUAGAGAUCCGGAAGAACACCGGUGGCGAAGGCGGCCUGCUGGGCAGUAGCUGACGCUGAAGCGCGACAGCGUGGGGAGCAAAC